RNAcentral lists this long non-coding RNA (316 nucleotides) under Mustela putorius furo (domestic ferret). RNAcentral describes it as "lncRNA (ENSMPUG00000024259.1)". The record is from RNAcentral. Lineage: Eukaryota; Metazoa; Chordata; Mammalia; Carnivora; Mustelidae.
UGCCGGGCUGGGCAUCACACCCCUGUGCGUCACACCACCUGCACUCCUGCUUUUUCCCAGACCUCUUCCCCACACGCGGCCCCUAGCAUCCUCAUUCCCCUGCGCUCAUCUACCCUUUCUCAGAUGUGUCUUAAUUGUUACCUGAAAUUCUUCGACCAUCUUCGUAAAUCUGGAUAUAUGCCUUGAUUGAAGAAGGGACGUGCUGGUUGAAGCCCUAAGCUGUUUACUGGGAAUUGUGAGGCACAACAAGACAAAAUCUUGGUUCUCCACCGACUCACAGUCUAGUAGAAAGUGUGAUUUAUAAACCAAUCAUGAG